RNAcentral lists this unclassified non-coding RNA (332 nucleotides) under soil metagenome. RNAcentral's name for it is "partial contains 5.8S ribosomal RNA, internal transcribed spacer 2, and large subunit ribosomal RNA". The stretch from base 1 to 120 matches the Rfam family "5.8S ribosomal RNA", at positions 35 to 154 of the family's 154-position model. The record is from RNAcentral.
GAUGAAGAACGUAGCAAAAUGCGAUAAGUAAUGUGAAUUGCAGAAUUCAGUGAAUCAUCGAAUCUUUGAACGCACAUUGCGCCCGCCAGUAUUCUGGCGGGCAUGCCUGUUCGAGCGUCAUUUCAACCCUCAAGCACAGCUUGGUGUUGGGACUCGCGUUAAUUCGCGUUCCCCAAAUUGAUUGGCGGUCACGUCGAGCUUCCAUAGCGUAGUAGUAAAACCCUCGUUACUGGUAAUCGUCGCGGCCACGCCGUUAAACCCCAAAUUCUGAAUGUUGACCUCGGAUCAGGUAGGAAUACCCGCUGAACUUAAGCAUAUCAAUAAGCGGAGGA